AACGCAACUUGCGCCCCUUGGCAUUCCGAGGGGCACGCCUGUUUGAGUGUCGUGAAUUCCUCCACCUUUUGGCUCUUGCGGUCGAAAGGCUGGGAUUUGGGGGUUUCUUGCGGGUCUGGAUUUCAGGUCGGCUCCCCUUGAAUGCAUGAGUGAAGACCCUCGCGGCCUCGGCGUGAUAGACAUCUACGCCUCGGAAGCGGUGGUGGGACUUUGCUUCCAACCGUCUUGGGACGAUCCAUCUCGACUUGACCUCAAAUCAGGCGGGACUACCCGCUGAACUUAA
RNAcentral lists this unclassified non-coding RNA (283 nucleotides) under uncultured fungus. RNAcentral's name for it is "partial contains 5.8S ribosomal RNA, internal transcribed spacer 2, and large subunit ribosomal RNA". The stretch from base 1 to 52 matches the Rfam family "5.8S ribosomal RNA", at positions 103 to 154 of the family's 154-position model. Lineage: Eukaryota; Fungi. The record is from RNAcentral.